Long non-coding RNA from Xenia sp. Carnegie-2017, 553 nucleotides. RefSeq lists it as uncharacterized. The transcript has 3 exons. The record is from RefSeq and is a predicted model, not a curated record. Lineage: Eukaryota; Metazoa; Cnidaria; Anthozoa; Malacalcyonacea; Xeniidae.
GGUUCCCUUUGGCCUUGACGAACCAACUUGAACAGGUUGUGGUGGCUGAAUGACAAUUUGCUGCUGCAUCGGUAAAGUUUGUCAGCCCAUUCAAGCUCUCGUGUUGUAUAUAAGAACAGUUUGUAUGGUAAAACAACGUUAAGAAUCACAUGGACGAGUCCUGGUAAUAAAAUUACUUACGGCUGAGGAGCAUAAACUAGGCCAGUGUUUGGAUCGUAAGGGACAAAUUCUCCACCAGGGCCGGGGGUGUUUGCUGAGGGUGGCAUCGGAUAUGGAUGGCUGGGAAGCAUAUAAGGCCUAGUCGAGUUCAUGUCUAAAACGAAAUAAUUGUCUGUUAAUUCAAAGUAUUGUAUCACUCUGAAAAAUGUAUAGCCAUGAAUAUAUUCAUUCAUUAUAAAAGCGUUAUUUGUCAUUUUUUUAAAUGAACAUCUUUGGACUAAAUGUAAAACACUUGACCAUGUGAAGUCAUUCCAAGCUUUAAAGGAACUGUAAGUCUUUUAUGAUGUACUAUAGUUAUUCUUGAGCUAAUGAUUAAAUAUACCUUGAGAUGGCA